This 73-nucleotide transfer RNA is filed under the name Candidatus Pacearchaeota archaeon. Its description in RNAcentral is "tRNA-Pro". It matches the Rfam family "tRNA". From Rfam's summary of the family: Transfer RNA (tRNA) molecules are approximately 80 nucleotides in length. Their secondary structure includes four short double-helical elements and three loops (D, anti-codon, and T loops). The record is from RNAcentral. RNAcentral also lists the same sequence under 1 other name. Lineage: Archaea; Nanobdellati.
GGGGCUGUGGGGUAGCUUGGUAUCCUUUCGGCUUUGGGAGUCGACGACCUCGGUUCAAAUCCGAGCAGCCCCA